This is a long non-coding RNA of Micropterus dolomieu (smallmouth bass), 1996 nucleotides long. RefSeq lists it as uncharacterized. NCBI's taxonomy places the organism in Eukaryota, Metazoa, Chordata, Actinopteri, Centrarchiformes, Centrarchidae. The transcript has 4 exons. The record is from RefSeq and is a predicted model, not a curated record.
CAUUAUAUGUAGGCUAUAUAUUUGUAUAUCACUUAUAUGUAAUAAGCUCUGUGUUCACAAUUUUGGUAGCCUACAGUUGUAUGCUUCAGUUUUCCAUAAAGUCAAGCCAGAACAUGGUGAACCCACAAGAACAAAUAGCUCUUAGUUAACAUGGUGAAGGAGAUGACAGAAAAUCACAAGGAAAAGUACACACAUGAUAUUAAUUUAGUAAUAAAAAGAAUGAAAACCCCAAUCCUAUUAUACGAUGUGUUGGUGCUACCAAAAACUCAUAGGGACAUCCUAUUAAUUAGUAGCUAUGUUUUCAAGCUCAAAAUGAUCAGAUAAUCUUAAUAAGCAUAGCUACUGUUGCACUGAACACACUGUUAAAUGUUUGUCUGCUUUGAAACCUACUAUAAUGAUAUUAGUUAAUGGUGUAACGGGGUAGACCUGUAUCAGCCAAUUUUGAGUGCAGUGGUAGUGUGAGGGGUGAGCACUUAGAGUGAGUGUGUAUUUGGUGGGUGUGGUUUUGCACUUGGGUUAAUUGCAUGGGUAUGGACUAAUGGCAGACAGGUCUGCUUGGGCAUGACAUCCAUCUGCAAACUAUUUAACCAGCCACACACUAGGCUCAAAAGUCUUCUGUUUGUCUCCUGUGUGCAGUGUGCGGGUGUGCUGAGGCUGCUGAUUCUUUGCAAGAGUGUGGUACACGGCUGGGUCGUGGUCUGGGGAGCUGCCAGUGUAGAGCCACCGCUACUUAGUAGAGUUACCAGAGGCCCAAGCAGUGAGGCUACAACCGACCAGCCUGUGACCACGCAGGAAGACGAAGUUGAGCACACCCAGCUACGACGAACUGCAAGGGAAUGGGAACAACUUUUGUCAGUGACUUUGGAAGGGCAGUGUAUAAAAGAUUGUGAGGUUGUUCAAAAGAGAAAACUUGCUUGUGGAUAAUACUGGACACACAUGAAGAACAUUUCUCUGCUCAUCUUUCAAAACACUGUACCGAGGUCUUGGUGAUUCAGCAACUUUUUUCACAUACACACUAGUGCCUCCGAGCCAUGGGACUUGGCAUUGGUUGGGGAAGACUACACAUCUGAUGCUUCCAUUUUUAAUUGUAAUACUAAUGUUGUUGAGGACUAAGUGGAAAGACCAAGCAGAAAUGUUUGUCAGUGUGUCUCUGGUGCCAAUGCAGUUCAGGCAUGUGUCGUACUGCUUUAAUUGUCAUUGCCAAUUAGGAUUCUGGGACUGCUUGGGAACCUGGAUCUGAAAAGUUAUGCAUUUUUGCAGAGCAAGCCCAACAAUGCCAUGUGAUUGUCCUGUUGUCUCUGUCCAUGGUCCUGAAACAACUACUGCAACUGGAAACUUAUUUUUCUUUUUUUGCCAUAUUUUUGUGAAUUUGUGACAUGGCUACUACUACUACUAUUGCUACUGCUCCUGCUGCUGCUACUACUACUAAUAAUAUAUUAAUGUAAUAAUUUAAUUGUCCCUUCAGUGAGGUAUUAUGCGUGAAUAUUUUAUAACAAAACAUGAGGCCUUCAAAUUAUCUAAAAGCAUAUAUUUAUUGCUUUUUAUUAUACAUAAUGUCUUCUGAAUAACAUUUUUUAACAACAUACAUUUUAACAAAUUCUGUUUGAGUUGAUUUCAUCCAUAGAUUCAUAGAUGUGUAGAUUUCCAUAUUUAUUCCAUGAUAAUAUGGGUUUUAAUAAAUCAGUCUUGUCAACAUUAGAGACACAUUGUCUGUAUUUGUUGUGGUUUGUAUUUGUGUUGGGUAUAAUGAUUUAAGUUUUGUAUGCACAUUUAGUUGUGUGAUUGAAGUAAGUAUUCAUUAAUAUGUAUUGCCUUAGUUGUAUUAGUUUUCCUACUAUACAUCUAGUGUCCUUUGUCUCUCACCAAAUUGCUAAACAUGCUUAAUAAUAAUAAUAGUUUGUCAGUGGUGCAUAAAGGUGUAUUUCUAUCAUCAGGUUGUUGUCUGGAAGUGACGUUGGACAUACCAUCAAUAAAAUAAUAUAAUUGUCCUAUUGAA